AAAUCAUGUUAGGAGGGCACCUUCUAAUCAGUUGCUUUUACCUCUCCCAGGCUUCAUAGAGGGAUUCACCUUCUUUUUGUCUAAAGAUUUGAACUUCAACCCUAAGCUU
Molecule: small nucleolar RNA, 109 nt
Organism: Arachis stenosperma
Lineage: Eukaryota; Viridiplantae; Streptophyta; Magnoliopsida; Fabales; Fabaceae
Source: RefSeq, a predicted model, not a curated record